GCCGGCCGCGAAGCCCGCCAGGAAGGACACGACGACGGCCGCCUGCACUGACCUCUCCGAGAAGUCUGCCAUAAUCGCGCCGAGCUUCUCCUUACUCCCACAAGACCGCACGGUGAUACCGGAAGUAAAGUGACAGUAAAAGUCAACAAGUCACCAUUCUUGUUGGCCUCCGGGAAGCUUCCGGAACUGGUAUCCGGUCUGCAUGUGGCCAUCCUCGGUGUGGGGCAGCCGCUGCUGUUGCCCCGGUAACCGUACCCGUGUUUCCGGUUGUACUGCGACGUCAUCACUCCGAAGACCGAAUUGUAGCGCUUGGAGUCCGUGGAGGGCUCGAACACGAAGUCGUCAGGCACCGAUGUUUCUGCUGGCGCAGACAGGGCAUCACCAUGGCAACAGACAGUCGAUCCAGAGGCGUGCUAGAGUCAUGUGAGACACCGGG
Molecule: long non-coding RNA, 436 nt
Organism: Phyllopteryx taeniolatus (common seadragon)
Lineage: Eukaryota; Metazoa; Chordata; Actinopteri; Syngnathiformes; Syngnathidae
Exons: 3
Source: RefSeq, a predicted model, not a curated record